This 253-nucleotide ribosomal RNA is filed under the name uncultured bacterium. RNAcentral describes it as "partial 16S ribosomal RNA". It matches the Rfam family "Bacterial small subunit ribosomal RNA", at positions 524 to 776 of the family's 1533-position model. The record is from RNAcentral.
GACGAACCGUACGAACGUUAUUCGGAAUCACUGGGCUUAAAGGGUGCGUAGGCGGCAGGGUAAGUUUGAUGUGAAAUCUCCGAGCUUAACUCGGAAACUGCAUUGAAUACUAUUCUGCUCGAGGUUUGGAAGGGGGACUGGAAUUCUCGGUGUAGCAGUGAAAUGCGUAGAUAUCGAGAGGAACACCAGUGGCGAAGGCGAGUCCCUGGACAACACCUGACACUGAGGCACGAAAGCUAGGGGAGCAAACAGG